This 68-nucleotide transfer RNA is filed under the name Anoplodactylus australis. RNAcentral's name for it is "tRNA-Gln". Lineage: Eukaryota; Metazoa; Arthropoda; Pycnogonida; Pantopoda; Phoxichilidiidae. The record is from RNAcentral.
UAUAUAAUAAUGUUUAGGCAUAUUUAAUUUUGAAUUAAAAUGGAAUAACUCAUUAUUAUUUUAUAUAA